Molecule: non-coding RNA, 1937 nt
Organism: Misgurnus anguillicaudatus (oriental weatherfish)
Lineage: Eukaryota; Metazoa; Chordata; Actinopteri; Cypriniformes; Cobitidae
Source: RefSeq, a predicted model, not a curated record
ACUGUAGCGAGGUGCGCGCGAGACCUCAUUGUUGUGUUCGCGAGCGCAGGAGGUGGUGGUCUCACAGCAACCGCUGUUUGUUUAAUCGAUUAACUUUCGGCCAUAACCCGAAUCUUAAUAGUUUGGUGUAAAAUACAAUGAGUUACGGUAGACCUCCGCCUGACGUAGAAGGCAUGACUUCGUUAAAGGUAGAUAAUUUAACGUAUCGCACAUCGCCGGAGACGCUGAGGCGCGUCUUUGAAAAGUACGGCCGAGUCGGGGACGUUUAUAUCCCUCGGGACCGAUACACGAAAGAAAGCAGAGGUUUCGCCUUCGUGCGCUUUCACGACAAGAGGGAUGCAGAAGAUGCGAUGGACGCCAUGGAUGGAGCGAUUUUGGAUGGACGAGAGCUCCGGGUUCAGAUGGCCCGCUACGGUAGGCCGCCCGACUCGUACUAUGGUGGACGUCGCGGCGGGGGACCCGCGAGGAGACACGGCGGACAUGGCCGCCGCAGCAGCCGAAGCCCAAGACGUCGCCGACGCAGCCGUUCCAGAAGCAGGAGCCGUUCUCGUUCCCGCAGCCGCUCCCGUUACAGCAGAUCACGGUCACGCUCCUAUUCCCGCUCCCGAUCUCAUUCCAAGUCGCACAGCCCCCGUAAGAGGAAGUCCAAGUCUCCCUCCAAGUCUAGGUCCCGUUCAAGAUCCAAAUCCAGGUCUCGUUCCAGAAGCCGCACCCCUGCGUCGAACAGAGAGUCCAAGUCCAGGUCAAGAUCUAAAAGCCAACCAAAAUCUGCUGGCGAGGAAGCGCCCACAUCAUCCUAAAUGCUCAAAGUGCUGCUGAAUCCAGUAUGGAAAUGUAAAAGCAGGGGUGUGAGGUGAAGUUUUGGCUGUUAGAGGUGUGUGUGAUCCAGCCACCUGCUCCUGUUGGGGUUGCAUUGGAGCAGAUGGGUGUUUUGGUGGUGCUGAGGUACGUCUAUGAGACAAUGGACAGACAGCAUCCUACCCUAAAAGUGCAAGCAUAAACCAAUUGCCUUCUUUGACCUGGAAAUGUGAAAAACAAAAUAAUGCAUAGGUCGAUUUCGUCAUGGGACGUUUCUAAAUACAUGACCUCUGUUGGAGCCUGAGGAACCUCGGAUUGAGAAUCUCCAAAAUCUACGCAAAGCCUACUUGGGCCUAAAGGUCAUUAUGACUGAUUGGCAUAUAAACGAACUGUUUGAUUGUUUCACAGCCCUUUUGUUCUUUAAAUAAAUACAUUGUCCUUAUUUUCAGUGAGGAUGUUUUAAAUGUCUAUGUCCUUUUUUUUAAUUCGUUGAGUAGGACGAACGUCACAAUUCUAUUGGCCUUUAAGGUAAACCCAGUGUCUCGGUGAUGGUUCAGAAGGUGUUAGAUGCACCUCACUUGUGUAAUAUUUUUGCAAGACGCUGUUAAGUCUAUUCAGCUUGGCUUUUUUUGUUGUUUUGCUUUAAUCUCCAAAUGUUUAAGAAUGAUCCCUAUGCUUUAUCUUGAAGUGGCUCAAAAAUAUGAAGUUUUUCCUUUCUAAUCAACAUAUAUGAUGUUGAUGUGUGAUUGUAACACUUGUUGUAUUUUACUUUAUUUUAGUUUUUUGACAUUUGGAUUCUAACCCCAUGUCUUGUGUAUUUUUUGUGCACUAGGCGCAGUUGUCUAGCUGUUGAGUAUUGCGGUUAGCUGUUAAGAUCCGGUGUUGCAGUGCUUGGCUGUUUCCGGUUUUCUCCAGAUUGCAGCUGUUGCAGGUGUGGCCGAGGUCAAACAGCAUCUGCUGAUAGAUGUUUGGUGGUUUAAGCAAUGUUGUCAAUUAAAGUUCUUUCAUUCUUGUUCCAUGAUUUGGAAAAUUGGGAGUACCACUUGCUGAUAUAACCAGGAAGUCAUAACAAUACAAUUUGUUCUGUCAUUUCAUUUUUGAAUCUUCAAUAAAUCGAAUAAUAAAGUACUUUGCUUUGA